GGGUCCCAAGCCCCCCCAGCAGCCACAGCAGUAUCCUGACUACCCUCCCAUGGACCCUGAGCCUCCAAAUCAACCUGGCCAUUCAUCCAGAAGUCAGCACUGGCCACGCUACUUGGGGAAGCAACAAAAUCGGCUGAAGUGGCCUAAUAAACCACAUCACCUUAUCAAACGACCUCAACUGUUACAGAAACAACCCUAGACAAUUUUCAGUCUUUGCUCAACCAGACAAGUUUUUUGAGCUGCAGAACUACUGUAAUGCAAUGCCAAAUAAAACCUGACUUGAAAUAUGA
Molecule: long non-coding RNA, 290 nt
Organism: Austrofundulus limnaeus
Lineage: Eukaryota; Metazoa; Chordata; Actinopteri; Cyprinodontiformes; Rivulidae
Exons: 2
Source: RefSeq, a predicted model, not a curated record